GAUGGUAAAAAUUAUUCUAAAAUAUACAUGGAGCCACACGCGAAAAUAUAUUCAAUAUCAAAUAUUAUAAACUCCAGCAAAGUAGCUCUGGGAGCAAGCUAAAAGCUAGCCGGGGUACGCGAACAGACUUUAUGAGGUGACGAAGUACAAUUUCAUCCAAGUAUUUUAAAUAAUAUCAUAUUCCAAUUUGUAAUCCAACUUAUAGUGUUAUCAUCGAUCUUGAAUGAUCUAAAAGUAUCAGAUUCAAGUUUUAAUUCUUUUUAAAUCCACCUAUAAACUCAAAGUCUAAUUAUCAAUUAGUUCCUCAAACCCUAAAACUUAUCGUCGAUUCCUUGCCGCUCCACGAGAAUCAUCGGCCGCUAACUGCUGGUCCUGAAUCGAGUAGAGACAAGAUACUACGUGUGUCACGGCCGCCAGAACUCCGAAUUUCUCGUCUCGUCUCGCUCGACGGCAUCACUACUAUCAGACAUGAUUCAGAUGUUAAUUAGGGUACUUGUCAACCCAAUGCUGCUGCAGCCGCCAAGCGAACUAACUUCCGGAAGGCACAUCAAUGUAUUGCAACGGAAUGCUGAAAUCCAUGAACCGGUGGCCAAGCAUUUUGAUGACGCAUCAUUAUAAUUAGAUCGGUGAACCACACAACGUCGACAAUGCCAAGUAUACCGGUUCUGAGAAAUUUACUAAUCGUGAGGUGCAUAUAACCAUAAUUAGUGGGAAUCUACGUACGGUUAAGCAGCGUAACCUUGUUUGCUCCUUCUCUUUCUAAUUCUGAGGUUACGAUCGCAACUAUCCUCAAGGCAUUUGUAACGGUUGCGAUUGUAUAACUCACGCAUAGAACUGCUCAAGGGCAAACAACAUAACCGCGUGUUGACAACGGACGAGGAGACAGCAUGACAGAGGCUACGGGUUUUCUUGUUUGUCACGUCACGGCGCUCAGCAGCCAUAUUUUAUUGAUGAACGUCUAGCUCACGUGGCGCCAAUUCUCACAUUCUAAUCGGUUAUCCGUUCCGAUCGACGUCUCUUCGGUUACUCGGGGUUAAAUCCCACCUUUACAACGUCAAAUGAAAUGUGGACAAGGGAGUGCAACAAAAAAAUCACCUUUUUAAUGUUGACCUGCUUUGGAUUAUACUACUUGUGAUGUCAAACUUUUAAUGCCAGCACAUUAAUUAUAUGUAUUGACCUUUUUUCCAACGUUAGUUCUAAAUACUGUCUUUUUGAAUCUAUAAAUGUGAAAAAGUAGUUUAACUAUAUUUACCAACAGUUGGAGAUACUGGUAAUUUAUCAUUUUCCAAAGUCUAACAAUAUAUCGAACAUUUAUUAUUAAUUCAACGUUUAGAUGUUUGCAAGAAUUCUUUGCAAGAAUGAUUUCAUGAAAAAUGAAGGUAUCAGAUUUUACAAAUAAUGUUACUUAAUACAACUUCUAUCUUUCGUUUUAAUAAAUAUAGACCAAACAUAACCCAAAUAUUAUUGUUAUUGACGAAAAGUUUCCGUCCAAAGGUUAUAAAUUAGUUUUCAACAUAAGCUUAAAUUCUUCUUGUUCAGAAUAUAAUAAAUUAUAUGGUUUUAAGAAUAUCGUCAUCUUUGUACCGUAAAUUCGCCAUUGCUAUUACUUUGAGUUGGCGCAUAAUGUAACUAUUAUUUUACGCUCUGUGAGUGUUACACAUCUAAAUUGCGAUGGCUCGACAAAUGUAGAUGUAUUGGGACAUGGGAUAUGUAAUAACUGUAUUCCGAACAGCAUGAUAGAUAAAAUUUCGUAUCUAUAACAUCUGAAUGAGGGAUGUCCGAUUUAUAACGAAGAGUCUAAAGAUUGAUCUUUUUAUCUUGAAAAUUCGAUCUUGCAAAUCGGUCUUUUCACGCUUCGAUUUUGCGGGAAUCCAUCCUUGGUAUAUCAAGAAUUGCUAAAUGACAG
Molecule: long non-coding RNA, 1906 nt
Filed under: Neodiprion lecontei (redheaded pine sawfly)
Lineage: Eukaryota; Metazoa; Arthropoda; Insecta; Hymenoptera; Diprionidae
Description: uncharacterized LOC124292934
Source: RNAcentral